This 180-nucleotide ribosomal RNA is filed under the name uncultured Glomeromycotina. Its description in RNAcentral is "partial small subunit ribosomal RNA". It matches the Rfam family "Eukaryotic small subunit ribosomal RNA", at positions 651 to 830 of the family's 1831-position model. The record is from RNAcentral. Lineage: Eukaryota; Fungi; Glomeromycota.
GGAUUAAUUUAUUGGUCGUGCUAUUGUACGUACUGGUAUUAUUGAUUCCUACCUUCUGACGAACCGUCAUGUCAUUAAUUUGGUGUGGCGGGGAAUCAGGACUGUUACUUUGAAAAAAUUAGAGUGUUUAAAGCAGGCUCACGCUUGAAUACAUUAGCAUGGAAUAACGAAAUAGGACGU